AAGUUGGUAAGAUCUGUGCAGUAGAAGAAUGUGUCAAAGCAGGACUACAGUGUGGACUAGAGCUUUGUGCGGAAGGUGUCUCGUGUAAUGAUAAUCAUUGUCAAGGAACUAGAUGUGGUAUUGUGGAUUGUGAAGAUGGAAAAGACUGCCAACUGAGUAUGUGCAAUGGUCCAGGUAUA
This is a long non-coding RNA of Patella vulgata (common limpet), 179 nucleotides long. RefSeq lists it as uncharacterized. Lineage: Eukaryota; Metazoa; Mollusca; Gastropoda; Patellidae. The record is from RefSeq and is a predicted model, not a curated record. The transcript is spliced from 3 exons.